Molecule: ribosomal RNA, 1019 nt
Filed under: uncultured bacterium
Lineage: Bacteria
Description: bacterial SSU rRNA
Rfam family: Bacterial small subunit ribosomal RNA
Source: RNAcentral
UGAGGAAUAUUGGUCAAUGGGCGUAAGCCUGAACCAGCCAAGUAGCGUGAGGGAAGACUGCCCUAUGGGUUGUAAACCUCUUUUGUGCGGGGAUAAAGUGUGGGACGUGUCCCAUAUUGCAGGUACCGCACGAAUAAGGACCGGCUAAUUCCGUGCCAGCAGCCGCGGUAAUACGGAAGGUCCGGGCGUUAUCCGGAUUUAUUGGGUUUAAAGGGAGCGCAGGCCGUCCUUUAAGCGUGCUGUGAAAUGCCGCGGCUCAACCGUGGCACUGCAGUGCGAACUGGAGGACUUGAGUACGCACGAGGUAGGCGGAAUUCGUGGUGUAGCGGUGAAAUGCUUAGAUAUCACGAAGAACUCCGAUUGCGAAGGCAGCUUACCGGAGCGCAACUGACGCUGAGGCUCGAAAGCGCGGGUAUCGAACAGGAUUAGAUACCCUGGUAGUCCGCGCCGUAAACGAUGGAUGCCCGCCGUUGGGAUUUAGAUUUCAGCGGCCAAGCGAAAGCGUUAAGCAUCCCACCUGGGGAGUACGCCGGCAACGGUGAAACUCAAAGGAAUUGACGGGGGCCCGCACAAGCGGAGGAACAUGUGGUUUAAUUCGAUGAUACGCGAGGAACCUUACCCGGGCUUGAAUUGCAGGAGAACGAUCCAGAGAUGGUGAGGCCCUUCGGGGCUCCUGUGAAGGUGCUGCAUGGUUGUCGUCAGCUCGUGCCGUGAGGUGUCGGCUCAAGUGCCAUAACGAGCGCAACCCCUGUCCAUAGUUGCCAUCAGGUCGUGCUGGGCACUCUGUGGAGACUGCCGCCGUAAGGUGUGAGGAAGGUGGGGAUGACGUCAAAUCAGCACGGCCCUUACGUCCGGGGCUACACACGUGUUACAAUGGGGCAUACAGCGAGUUGGAUGUGCGCAAGUACGUCCGGAUCAAUAAAGUGCCUCUCAGUUCGGACUGGGGUCUGCAACCCGACCCCACGAAGCUGGAUUCGCUAGUAAUCGCGCAUCAGCCAUGGCGCGGUGAAUACGUUCCC